GAUGAACGCUGGCGGUAUGCCUUACACAUGCAAGUCGAACGGAAAUUAGCUUCGGUUAAUUUUAGUGGCGGACGGGUGAGUAACACGUGAGAAUUCGCCUUUAGGAGGGGGAUAACGGAUGGAAACAUUCGCUAAAACCCCAUAUGCCCCUGGGUGAAACAGAGGAGAUAAGUAAUACUGACUCCCCUCUGCCUGAAGAGAAGCUCGCGGCUGAUUAGCUAGUUGGUAGGGUAAAGGCCUACCAAGGCGACGAUCAGUAGCUGGUCUGAGAGGACGAUCAGCCACACUGGAGCUGAGACACGGUCCAGACUCCUACGGGAGGCAGCAGUGAGGAAUUUUCUGCAAUGGGCGAAAGCCUGACAGAGCAAUACCGCGUGAGGGAUGAAGACUUACUGAGUUGUAAACCUCCGUACCUUAAGGAAGAAGAUCUGACGGUACUUAAGGUGGAAAGCAUCGGCUAACUCCGUGCC
Molecule: ribosomal RNA, 470 nt
Filed under: uncultured eukaryote
Lineage: Eukaryota
Description: bacterial SSU rRNA
Rfam family: Bacterial small subunit ribosomal RNA
Source: RNAcentral